This 1418-nucleotide long non-coding RNA is filed under the name Oryza sativa (Asian cultivated rice). Its description in RNAcentral is "long non-coding RNA (OSAT_LNC000985)". Lineage: Eukaryota; Viridiplantae; Streptophyta; Magnoliopsida; Poales; Poaceae. The record is from RNAcentral.
AUUGGACCGAUCGGCCCAUAACCUUUCGAUUGAUAAACUCCACGUGGGUCACGGCCAUUAAGCCCAUUAAUUAUCUUAUUACUCGUCUCCCACUCUCUCUUCCCCAAAAUCUUUGCAUUUUUCGAUCGACUUCUUCCUCGAGGUUAGUUUCUAGCAGCUUCUCGAAGCUUCCCUCCAGUUCUGCAUCCCGGUCGCUUGGCACCACCCAAGGCAUGGGCAUGGUUGUGUUCUUGGCUAUUGUGCGGAUGCGCGCGAUGUAAGAGUGAGUGGUGCGUCCUCAAGCGCGCGCGCUCGCCCACAAGGUGUUCGACCAAACGCCGCAAUGGCCUUUUUUUUGUUCCUCUUUAUGACGGCUAUAGACGCCUGGUUUUAAUCACAGGAUGGGAUCGAUGCGAAUGUGCGAGUUCGUGGCAGAUGGGCAGUUGCUAUGAAGGAGGCAGUAUCAGGUAGUAUUAGCAUACACAAUCGCUAUCUUUUCCAAAAUCCAAGUAGAAAAAGGAAAAAAACACACACAAAAUCUAUAUCUAUAUUUACAUUGUGAAGCCUCUGCUGCUGCUACUAAUGCUACUCAUUGCUCUGUAGAAAUCGGUGAUCACGGAGUUUAUGCACGCUGGUUUGUCCUCCAGAGGGAUCGAUCACCUUGUACAAUGGUAUGCCUUUCUUUUUCUUUUUACCUGCUAUUUUUUUCUCUUCUGUACAUACAUACUCUCAUGUUGUUGCAUUUAACCAUUUACAUAAUUGAGCCUUUUUUUGGUCUUUGCUCCUGUAUGUCCCUUCAGAAAGGGAUCCAUGCCUGUACAUAUUUGCAACAAGGAGAUUUUAAUUAUGGUGCUAAUGGUGGUGGAUACAAAUAAAUGGCUGUGGCCAAGAUUGAUGGCGUGGUUCUGACCUUGAUUAAUCCGGUUUCAGUCCCGCAGAAAAUAAUGUCAUUUGCGGUGAACAUGCUCGUGAUCUUGUUCCCUGCAGAUAGCCUCCCUACUUUCUGCUGAUUCUCUCUCAACCAUAUCUGUCAAAAAUACAGAAGCAGAAGCAUUGUCAGGUUGGCUGGCUUCUGUAAUUUUCCAACUAUGUAACCUCAAGGCAAAGGUGGUGCCUUUAAUAGGGACAACCAAAAUUUCAAAAUAAAUUUAGAUGACCUGAAUGAUACUAGGGCUUUUGUCGCAGUUCAGGUAGAUGAAGUCCUCCACCACUGCCAUUGCCUCUACAUUUGUUCCCUUUGAUAUCGCCAUCGUCAUUGUAGGUUUGCAUCGCUUCUUCCAGUCCUGUUUUACCGAUAUUUAUAACUUUUUUUUCUCAAAUCCUUGUAAUCUGAUUUUUUUCACAGGUUCAAGUUUGAUCCUUACCUUUAUGGUGGAUCCUUCCACUUGAGUACCAGCACAGUACAUCCAAUCUUUAUAUACUACAAUGGAACUAAUGGG